GACACAUAUAUAUAAGUACAGAUGUGGGCCACAAUCUCAACUAUACAAGUGAAACAGGAGGUGGACCCUACACACAAAUAUACACGAACACAAUAUACUAAGAAGACUAGGCCCGUAAGGGUUCCAUUUUUCUGGUUUUUUUGAACUUUUUUUACCUACGUUGUUUGAGCGACACGUUACCUCCGUAUGUGUGUGCAGUACAUCCUACAGCGGCCUUCCUUUGUUUCUCUUUAAUAUUUGUUUGACUGCGCGUCCCAUGCAUGUCUUGCUCCAGUUCACAUGAGCUUUUCUGGUGGCCUUCUAGAUUUCCUGCGAUUGCUGCAUGGCCAUGCAUACCGCCACGUCUGCCUCACACGUUGUGACUGUCAGUUUACUGAUGGACACGUUGCCUUCUAGGCUUUUACCUUCUCUGUUGGGGUGACGCGUGUGCGUGAAAGUUUUCUGGGAUGUGUUCGAUUUCAUUCUUCCUUUGCUUGGAUUGUUCAAGCACAUUUUGUUUAUUGAUGCAUAGGUGUGAUGGGCUCUCCUGGAAGGUUCUUCCUUAAAAAGGAGAUGUAUGGGCUGAUUUUGUCUCAUGCCAAAAGAUUAGGUUGACCACGCAUGGCUCUUCUGGAGAUGUAUGGGCUGGUUUUGUUUUUAGCACCGCUGCAUGGCUCAUCAUGCAUGCAUGUGGCCACGUUUGCGUGUUGUAUAGUUGUCUCUCUGUGUUAUGGAGGGACACGUUGUGUUCUUGGUCUUUCUUGGUCUUUCUGGUGGGUUCUUUCUUCAUCUCCUUUUGCUUGCCUAUAAGUAGCUCCUUGCUAUGUUGGUCCUUCAUUCAGUUUCCACAUCCUUCCCUAGAUUGGUCUUCUUGAUUCAGUUUUCGCCUCACUGGCACAUCCAUUCUCUCCAGGCUCUAGCACCGUCUUGCCUCCGGCAGUUGGAGACGGAGCAUCUGGUCAUGGAAAGCCGCAUCAGGACGUUCGGUGCGGUGGUCAUGGCGCACCAUGCUGGGUCUACUUCACCAUCGUCGUGCUCCGCAGCCGCCUACAGCCGACGCACCGAUGAGGUCCGACAUGGAGCACAGUAGCAAGCACCAGUUUGAGGCGAGGUAUAUCGCAUUGGUCUCCUGCUGCUCACAGGCGAGGCCUCGGACGAGCGGCCAAAUCCACGUGAGGUGGAUGUUGCAGGCACGACCAUCUCCCCUUCCUCCCUUCUUUUUCCCUCCAACUACCAUGUUAUCUUUACCAUGUCUUCUUUCCUUGUUAUAUUGUUUUUUCACCCAUAGGGAUAGAGACGUUACCUCAGUUCGGCAACGAAGCCAGUGAUUUGUACUAUCCAAUAAUUUUCGUUAAUACGGUAAAAACUUAUUUCAGUCCACCUGACGGAACGAGUUUGCAUUUUGCAUCUGAUGAUGUCAGAACUUAUGGAAAGUUUCUAAAGGAAAUUAUGACAUGGUAUUUUUCUUCACCCUUGAUUUGUUCCAUUCGUAUUAUCUGCUCUGCCCUAGGUUCGUCCCCAAUUAUAAAAUUUGGAGCCUCCCGCUGAAGGUCCAAGGAGGUGGAAGCAUGAACAAUGCCCUCAUCAAAUCAAUUUAACUGGAUUCGAAUCGAAGGAUGACUUUCGAGAAAAGGUAGUACGCAACUUCAUUUAUAUUAUGCACUUGGCAGGGAUGUUCUCAAGGAAUUGCAAGAUGAUGGGCUAUACACUUCACAUAGCCUGAGACCAUGGUGAGUACAUGGUCUUUUGACUUACUUUCUUUGUAGUUGUUUUACAAAUUGAGGAGGGGUAGCAGAUGGAUGGCAUUGCCAUGCAGAACUGAAAACACUGUUGUAUGACUACAGACUCUUCACUGGAAUAAAAAUAGUUAUGUGGUGUUUGGUCGGACGUGCGCAUUUGCAGCACCAUGGGGUACUCUUUGGCUGAAGUACAUAUUUUGUAUCUUCUUUGGACCUAAAUCAGACUGUUCAAGUGGUGUUUGCUCAGAA
This is a long non-coding RNA of Triticum dicoccoides, 1967 nucleotides long. RefSeq lists it as uncharacterized. The transcript has 2 exons. Lineage: Eukaryota; Viridiplantae; Streptophyta; Magnoliopsida; Poales; Poaceae. The record is from RefSeq and is a predicted model, not a curated record.